AGGAGGAUUGGGGAGGCCCAAAAUGUCUGUCUGCUCAAACGGUAUAAUGUGGAUACGAGCACAGAAAAACAGAAAAGAAUGACUUUCAAUAGAGGUAUUGUCAGUAACUGAAAAUAUUGGCCAGCAGUGGCACCACUCAAACCUUGGCUACAUUCAGAGGAAUGUCUCCCAUUUUUCCUUACAAAUGGAACCACUUCUUGCGAUGCAGAUCUGUCCUGUCUCUAAAGCUUUGCUUACACAUCCCGAAUGUAUUACUCUAACUCAGCCAAAGGUCCUGAAAUUUUGCUUGAAUUAAACUCUUUGAUUUCAGCUACCAAAAUCUUACUUCCAUC
Molecule: long non-coding RNA, 332 nt
Organism: Phasianus colchicus (ring-necked pheasant)
Lineage: Eukaryota; Metazoa; Chordata; Aves; Galliformes; Phasianidae
Source: RefSeq, a predicted model, not a curated record